GAAGACACUCGCCUUUGGUAUUCCCAUUUUGGAUAAGAUUAUCCGCAAUCAGGGCCAGCAAAGGAGAAAACGAAUUCCCUCUGCUUUGGUUCUCGCACCUACGCGUGAACUUGCACGUCAGGUGCAAAGGGAGUUCAAAGAAUCAGCUCCAAAUUUGAGCAGCACCUGUGUCUAUGGCGGAAUACCAAUUAUGCACCAAGUGCGGGAUCUUGGGUUGGGUAUGGAUAUUGUUGUGGGGACGCCUGGAAGAAUUAUUGACUUGGUUGAAAGAGGGGCCUUAGAUCUCUCAGAAGUCAAAUUUGCUGUGCUGGAUGAAGCUGAUCAGAUGCUGGCU
RNAcentral lists this unclassified non-coding RNA (334 nucleotides) under Hevea brasiliensis (rubber tree). The record is from RNAcentral. Lineage: Eukaryota; Viridiplantae; Streptophyta; Magnoliopsida; Malpighiales; Euphorbiaceae.